GACGAACGCUGGCGGCGUGCUUAACACAUGCAAGUCGAACGGAAAGGCCCCGCUUUUGUGGGGUGAUCGAGUGGCGAACGGGUGAGUAACACGUGAGUAACCCGCCAUUGCCUUUGGGAUAACUUAAGGUAACUGGGGUUACUACCGGAUAGGAGCUCCUGCUGCAUGGUGGGGGUUGGCUUGUUCGGGCGGUUUGGGAUGGACUGGCGGGCUAUCAGAUUGUUGGUGGGGUAGUGGACUACCAAGGCUUUGGCGGGUAGCCGGCCGGAGAGGGAGACCGGCGACAUUGGGACGGAGAUAAGGCGCAGACGCCUACGGGAGGAAGCAGGGGGGAAGAUUGCAACAUGGGUGGCAGACUGAUGCAGAAAGGCCGCGUGCGGGAUGACGGUAUUCGGGUUGUAAACAGCUUUCAGCAGGGGAGAAGCUUGUGGUGACGGUACCUGAAGAAGAAGCACCGGCUAACUACGUG
Molecule: ribosomal RNA, 469 nt
Filed under: uncultured bacterium
Lineage: Bacteria
Description: partial 16S ribosomal RNA
Rfam family: Bacterial small subunit ribosomal RNA
Source: RNAcentral